GCGGAAGUGGUGGAAUGGCAGACACGCAGCGUUCAGGUCGCUGUGGGGGCAACUCCGUGAGGGUUCAACUCCCUCCUUCCGCACCA
Molecule: transfer RNA, 86 nt
Filed under: Candidatus Gygaella obscura
Lineage: Bacteria; Pseudomonadati; Candidatus Omnitrophota
Description: tRNA-Leu
Rfam family: tRNA
About the family: Transfer RNA (tRNA) molecules are approximately 80 nucleotides in length. Their secondary structure includes four short double-helical elements and three loops (D, anti-codon, and T loops).
Source: RNAcentral